CUUGGUCAUUUAGAGGAAGUAAAAGUCGUAACAAGGUUUCCGUAGGUGAACCUGCGGGAGGAUCAUUAACAAACUGUUGGGCGCAAGCCCACUAACCUUUGUGAAUAGGGCUGCUUGCAGCUUAGAUGGGGAGGGGAGACCAGACGCGAGUAUGCAGUUGUGAUUAUAGUUGUAGUUUUAUAGCUUUGAUUGUAGUUAUAGCUCUAGCUUGGUUCUGGUCAAACAUUACAAUAGUCUGAUUACACUUGAAAAUCGAAAGGUUUUUGAUAAUAAUACAACUUUUAACAAUGGAUCUCUUGGCUCUUGCAACGAUGAAGAACGCAGUGAAUUGCGAUAAGUAAUGUGACUUGCAUUCAUUUGUGAAUCAUCGAAUCUUUGAACGCACCUUGCACUUUAAGAGUCGAUCUUAAAGUAUACCUGUUUGAGUAUCAUAAACAUUUAUCCAAUUUAUUGGGAUUUGAUGGCUUAAUUAGCGCUGCUGAUUAUCUGUUUAAAUGUAGUAGGGAAUCAGAGAUAAGCGCGCUUAUUUCUUGAAUGAGGAUAUUUACUCUUGCAGUAAAAUAAUCAUGAAAGAGUAGGAGGCGGAUCGUUGAGACCCUUAACUCACUCCCACUUGGCUUCUCUCGAGAAGACGGUGGAAGCGAACUCGUACAAAUGUGAUCUCAAAUCAGGCAAGACUACCCGCCGAACUUAAGCAUAUCAGUAAGCGGAGGAAAAGAAACUAACAAGGAUUCCCUCAGUAAUGGCGAAUGAACCGGGAAGAGCUCAAAUUUAAAAUCUGGCUGGGUUACCAGUCCGAGUUGUAAUUUAUAGAAACGUUUUCUUGCAAAUUGAUUGGUAAAAGUUCCUUGGAACAGGACAUCAUAGAGGGUGAGAAUCCCGUCUCUGACCUUUCAGAUUUGCUUUAUGAUACGUUUUCAAAGAGUCAGGUUGCUUGGGAAUGCAGCUCAAAAUGGGUGGUAAAUUUCAUCUAAAGCUAAAUAUUGGCAAGAGACCGAUAGCGAACAAGUACCGUGAGGGAAAGAUGAAAAGAACUUUGAAAAGAGAGUUAAAUAGUACGUGAAAUUGUUAAAAGGGAAGGGCUUGAAACCAGUAUUGUGUGCAAGAAUUCAGCGGUAAUUUAUAAAGAGUUGUCGUGUAUUUUCUUGUAUGCAAGUCAAUAUCAGUUUUGCUUGUUGGAAAAGGGAAAGAGGAAGGUGAUCAUCGGCUUCGGCCUUUGGUUUUAUAGACUCUUUCUUAUACAGCGAGCCGGGACUGUGGACUGCAAUACUUACAGGUCUAUUUGGCUUAUAGUUUUGUUUCACGCAAGGACUACAUGUAGAUCUUGGGUGCAAUGUGGCUAUACGGCUAAUGAGAUUCUCCAGUAUUUAGGAUAUUGACGAAAUGGUUUUAAACCACCCGUCUUGAAACACGGACC
Molecule: ribosomal RNA, 1417 nt
Filed under: uncultured fungus
Lineage: Eukaryota; Fungi
Description: eukaryotic LSU rRNA
Rfam family: Eukaryotic large subunit ribosomal RNA (bases 658-1417)
Source: RNAcentral